GAUGAACGCUGGCGGCGUGCCUAAUACAUGCAAGUCGAGCGAACGGACGAGACGCUUGCUUCUCUGAUGUUAGCGGCGGACGUGUGAGUAACACGUGUAUACCCUACCUAUAAGACUGGGAUAACUUCGGGAAACCGGAGCUAAUCCCGGAUAAUAUUUUGAUCCGCAUGGUUCAAAAGUGAGAGACGGUCUUGCUGUCACUUAUAGAUGGAUACGCGCUGCAUGAGCUAGUUGGUAAGGUACCGGCUUACCAAGGCAACGAUGCAUAGCCGACCUGAGGGGGGGAUCCGGCACACUGGAGCUGAGAGACGGCACAGACACCGACGGGAGGCAGAAGCAGGGACUGUUCGGCAAUGGGCGAAAGCCUGCCGGAGCAACGCAGCGCGAGUGAAGCAGGGCUGCGGGUCGGAAAACGCUGUUAUUAGGGAAGAACAUAUGGUACGUAACUGUGCACAGCGUGACGGUACCUAGUAAGAAAGCCACGGCUAACUACGUG
RNAcentral lists this ribosomal RNA (496 nucleotides) under uncultured bacterium. RNAcentral's name for it is "partial 16S ribosomal RNA". It matches the Rfam family "Bacterial small subunit ribosomal RNA", at positions 28 to 507 of the family's 1533-position model. The record is from RNAcentral.